AUGAAGCACAUCUCCCUCUCGCCAUCCACCGAACUUGCCGAGACCGCCAUCUCCGUCAUUCCGUUCAGGACACCGAGUUCACCGAGAUCGCCAUCUCCAUCGCGUCGUUCAGUCCACCGAGCUCACAUCGUUCAGUCCACCGAACUCGCCUCGUUAACCAAAAUUUAUUCUCUCCCUCUGAAAAUGAACCAAGCUCAAGCACUAAUUUGA
Molecule: long non-coding RNA, 210 nt
Filed under: Prunus dulcis (almond)
Lineage: Eukaryota; Viridiplantae; Streptophyta; Magnoliopsida; Rosales; Rosaceae
Description: sRNA ncRNA
Source: RNAcentral